CCUGGCUAAUUUUUUGUAUUUUUGGUAGAGACAGGGUUUCACGACGUUGGCCAGGCUGGUCUCAAACUCCUGAUCUCAAGUGAUCCGCCUGCCUCUGUGUCCCAAAUUGCUGGGAUUACAGGCAUGAGCCACCGCACCGGCCAUGCUUUCAGUUUUCAAGAAAGAAGACACCAUUAUUGCCAAAGAUUUUGGUAAUUUGAGAGAUACAAUGUAUGUUUUCUCCAUGUGGAUACUAGAUAGUAAGGAUGUGUUGAAUUUGAAGUGUCUAUCCAGAAGUAUUUUGGGUACUUGUUUAAGGAUUGUAAAACAAUGUUUCCAUUUCUGGAUAUAAUAAAUGUAUUUGUUAAUAUAAUAAAUGAAUAGAUUAGACCCAUAAACUAUUUGCAGUGUUGAGUCAUUUCCCACAGUUAAAAUCAGGAUGAAAAUAUAUAGCUGAAUACUUGCUUUGUUUCUUGUAACUGAUUUCUUUAGUACAGAACCUGCUAAGGCCAUCAAACCUAUUGAUCGGAAGUCAGUCCAUCAGAUUUGCUCUGGGCAGGUGGUACUGAGUCUAAGCACUGGAUGAAGAAGAUAGUAGAAAACAGUCUGGAUGCUGGUGCCACUAAUGUUGAUCUAAAGCUUAAGGACUAUGGAAUGGAUCUCAUUGAAGUUUCAGGCAAUGGAUGUGGGGUAGAAGAAGAAAACUUCGAAGGCUUAAUGAUGUCACCAUUUCUACCUGCCACGUAUCGGCGAAGGUUGGGACUCGACUGGUGUUUGAUCACGAUGGGAAAAUCAUCCAGAAAACCCCCUACCCCCACCCCAGAGGGACCACAGUCAGCGUGAAGCAGUUAUUUUCUACGCUACCUGUGCGCCAUAAGGAAUUUCAAAGGAAUAUUAAGAAGAAACGUGCCUGCUUCCCCUUCGCCUUCUGCCGUGAUUGUCAGCUUCUUGAGGGCUCCCCAGCCAUGCUUCCUGUACAGCCUGCAAAACUGACUCCUAGAAGGACCCCACCCCCCUCCCCCCACCCCUGCUCCCAGGAGGACAACGUGAUCACUGUAUUCAGCUCCAUCAAGAAUGGUCCAGGUUCUUCUAGAUGAUCUGCACAAAUGGUUCCUCUCCUCUUUCCUGUUGUCUGCCAUUAGCAUUGGAAUAAAGUUCCUGCUGAAAAUCCACAUCUCCCCUGGGUCCGGUGUUCUGGAAGUGAGAGAGACAAUGUCACACUUGAAGGAGGCAGCUCUCUAGACAGGAAGGUUAUUCACGUCCCAUGUCAAGUCUAGAGUUCAGAGCAAUUGAGAAAUGCAAUUUUAUCUGCUGCCUUUCAUUCUAUACCCUGCUUCUGAACCAUCGUGUUCAACUGUGAAACUCACACUUUGGUGACCACAACUCCAAAACUCACUUAAUACACCCAAGGUCAGCCCCAGUGAUCUGCUUCAUAGCAAGGACUUUGGGUGGGUCUGCCCAGGGAGUAGGGCACCCUCAGAGAAUGUGGCUUUGGACUUCAUCAUAGCUGGGGCCUUUUGUGUCACUUAAGAUCUAAACUUGUAACCAUGCUAGAUGUGUUUCUAAUGUGACAACAUCACGAACCACGAGUCCAGAAGCCUAAUCCUUAAUCCUACCUCCUCAUGAUGAAGUCUCAUGCUCUGUGCUCACCGUGGUUAGCUGCACAAGAUGUAAACCAAAGCUUCACUGAACCCUCGACCCAAAUCGGUAACUCAAGUGCGUCAAUCAUAAUGAACCUCCCCAAACUCAGUAUUUAUGAUUAUUUUUGAGGCAGGGUCUCACUCUGUCGCCCAGACUGGAGUGCAGUGGCAGGAUCAGGGCUCCGUGCAGCCCUGACCUUCCAGGCUCCAGCGAUCCUCCCGCCUCAGCCUCCUGAGUAGUUGGGAGUAGAGAUGCGUCCCACAUCGCCUGGCUAAUUUUUGUAUUUUUGUGGAGAGGGGAUCUCGCCACGUUGCCCAGGCUUGAAGCCGGAUCAAGCAAUUGGGUUCCUCGGAUUUCCAAAAUAGACCCCAAUAUUCUGCCUUUACCCCGGAGGAUGCAGAUGUACCUUCUCUCAGGCCGAUGACCUCAGGCCUCCACGGUCCCUGGAGCUCUAGGAAAGGCGAGCGCGAUCUCGCGCCCACACCCAGUGCUCUGGGUCAUAAGCCUGGAUCUGGAAAAACAAACGCCCUUUGAGAAGACGGGGACUCGCCAGGAUACCCCUCUCUCCCCUCAUCCAGCCUCCAGCCCACCCGAUUCCUCCCCACCUCCUCCACCUCCCCAGGCCCCACUCACCUCCUCCAACUCCUCCCGGGAAACCCAAGCCCUGCCGCUCAUGGAACAGAAGAACUGGAACCGAAGUUUCUGGAACAGG
Molecule: RNA transcript, 2332 nt
Organism: Homo sapiens (human)
Lineage: Eukaryota; Metazoa; Chordata; Mammalia; Primates; Hominidae
Gene: PMS2P9
Gene name: PMS1 homolog 2, mismatch repair system component pseudogene 9
Exons: 5
Source: RefSeq, marked provisional